Molecule: ribosomal RNA, 465 nt
Filed under: uncultured bacterium
Lineage: Bacteria
Description: partial 16S ribosomal RNA
Rfam family: Bacterial small subunit ribosomal RNA
Source: RNAcentral
GACGAACGCUGGCGGCGUGCUUAACACAUGCAAGUCGAACGGAAAGGCCCCUUUGGGGGUACUCUAGUGGCGAACGGGUGAGUAACACGUGAGUAACCUUCCCUUGACUUCGGGAUAACUUCAGGAAACUGGGGCUAAUACCGGAUAGGAAUCCUUGCUGCAUGGUGGGGGUUGGAAAGCUUCGGCGGUUUUGGAUGGACUCGCUGCUUAUCAGCUUGUUGUUGGGGUAGUGUCUUACCAAGGCGUUGACGGGUAGCCGGCCUGAGAGGCCGACCGGCCACAUUGGGACUGAGAGACGGCACAGACUCCUACGGGAGGCAGCAGUGGGGAAUAUUGCACAAUGGGCGGAGGGCUGAUGAAGAAACGCCGCGUGCGGGAUGACGGCCUUCGGGUUGUAAACCGCUUUCAGAAGGGGCGAAGCUUGUGGUGACGGUACCUGAAGAAGAAGCACCGGCUAACUACGUG